This 6711-nucleotide long non-coding RNA is filed under the name Triticum aestivum (bread wheat). RNAcentral's name for it is "long non-coding RNA (TAES_LNC004720)". The record is from RNAcentral. Lineage: Eukaryota; Viridiplantae; Streptophyta; Magnoliopsida; Poales; Poaceae.
GGAACGUUUGGAUCACUUGGUCAGGAACGUUUGGAUCUGCUCCAGCCUUCUACAAGCACUUGACGAAUCCGAUGUUGCCACGGUGGCUGCACGCUAACAACAGAGGGAUCACUCCACUGAAUCCACUGGCAUCAACAUUAGCCCCACCCUAGGUAACAUUUCCACGCGAGAAAUCGAUAUGCGCAAUUCAUGUGGAAAUUCUAUGGAACUCCAGCGAUCCAAGCAUUGCAAGUGCUACUUCAAAAAUAACCGCCAUGUCGCGACAAUGCAAAUACCUAGUAUGAUUUAUGCAAUCAACAGGAACUUGGAGAUCAAUUAGCAGAAGAUAAAGUAUUGUAGCACCUCAAUGAGCAGCUUCAUGCAUUCCACGGAGCCACCACAAGAAGCGAUGAGAGAUGAGACCAAGGGUGUGAAGACACGGCUGGCACCAUACGAACGGCCGGACAUACAUCACCGUGCCGCGGAUCCUCCCCUCCAUACACGAAUCCUUGUUCUUCCCCGUCAACAGUCACAUGCAAGCAGUGGACGACCGCCGGAUCCGGAUCACAGAUCCGACGGCUAGGAGAACCUCCCAGCUCCCACGCGCGCAUCCCGUAGACGCCUCCUGCCCCAGGCGCUCGAUCCCUGGAACGGAGAGCCACCCGACGCUGCGCCGACGACCUCGCAGCCUCCCGACGCCGGUGAUCUAUCGGACGGAGGCGGCCAGUAGUGGGCGGUGGCAGCGAUGACGCGCGAGAGAGAGAUGGGGAAAAGGGAGAUAUUCCAGCGAACCAGAAACGGAAAGGGAUGGCGAUCUCGGACCUCGGCGGCAGCGAUCUCGGAUCUCGGCGGUGGUGAAGGGCUCCACAAUGGCGGCGGCGAAGGGCUCCACGAUGGCGGCAGCGGCGUGCUUGUCAGGACCCGGCUGAUCUGCAGCUCCUAACUGAAGAACAGAGCAGCUACUCUGAAGAAAUCGACAGCGAUGACGAAGCGGUACGCACUUGGGAAUGGAUGGCUGGGAUGAAGCAGAUGGACAUCAACGGACGACAACUGUAACGGGUUCUGUUCACCUUCACGCCGUUGCCGCCACCCUCCUGAAGCCUACAGUGACGAAGCGCGUCAACCCCGGCGUCGCCACCAACCUACCAGCUAUUUAGCCCCUUCGAGACGUCUCUGGAGUCAUCUUUCCCUUUCUCCAAGUUGUAAUAGCUAGCCUAAGCUUAGAACCCUAGACUACUUGGUAGAAUUCGGGCAGAUCCUCGAUCUGAACCCCUGUAUCUGUACUCUGUUCCUCAAAUUAAUCCAAUCGGGGCUAGUUCGAGUAGCGGUGUUGUUGAUCAGUGUAAUUUGGUCCUGUCAAUUGGUAUCAGCAGCCAGUCGUUCCUCGGAGGCGAAUCGGUUGAAGCAGGCUGUGGUUGGGUUUUGACUUGGUAAAAUCCCACAGCGGGCUGUCGAUCGCGGCGGCGGAGUUCGUCGGAGGCGGAUUUUGGCGGCGGAAGGGCGAGGUCAUGGGCCAGGGUUGCAGACUUGUUCUGUUGUAAAAUUCCGGAGCCGGUGAUCGCCAUGCCUACCAGGACGAAGCACAUGGACGAGAUCUCGGAGGAGCUCGAAGCUCUUCAGAGCGAAGUCGCUGCGCUCGGCCUGAAACAGGACAAGAUCCAGGAUCAGAUGGAUCUGGUCAACAAUCGCUUGCAGACGGUCGACUCCUUAGAGAAGCAAUUGGGCAAGGUGGAACUCUUGGUUGAAAACAAUUCCAAGGUCCACCAGGAGAUUUUCAAUAUCCUGAGAGAGAUGCGGUCUGAAAAUCCCAGCCCACCCUCCCCUGUUUCUCAAGCAGAAACAACAGUGGUUGUUCCACAGCGGCAAAAUCAGCCAGCACAACCAGAGACUCGGGAAAGAGAGCUAGCAAAUCAAGGGACAACAGUGGUCCAGCAACGAGUGCAACAGUUCCAAGGGCAGUCUUCAGGCACUGCUCGAAAUGAGGGACAACAAGCACCAACACUAGGGAACACAGCAGUGCAGUAUCAAUCCGACAGAGCAAUCCAAUUCAUGAAAUCCAUUUCCAAGGGACCUAAACUGGAUUUUCCUAGCUUUAGUGGUGAGAACCCAUUGGGUUGGAUCAAGCAAGUUAACAAGUACUUUCAGUUAGCACAAACUCCUGACGAAUGCAAGGUGGAUCUAGCACUCACCUAUAUUAUAGGUCGAGCUGAUAACUGGGUAAGAAGUGCCCAAAUGGAUAACAAAGCACUGUUAUGGCAAGAAUUCUGCAGAGCACUGUGUUACCGAUUUGCAGAUUCAAGUAUUUAUGAAGUACUAGAAAAAUUCCACAAUCUGAAGCAGAACACCCUGUCAGUAGCAGCUUACACUGACAAAUUUGAGGAAAUCAUGGCAGUCGUCAGAGAUGAGCACCCUAUUUGCAGGAGAACUACUACAUAGUUAGCUUUGUCAACGGGUUGAAACCUAGCAUACGAUGCAAUCUCAGACCACAAAGGCCAACAACUCUCAGCCAGGCUUAUUGGUUAGCCAGAGACUAUGAAAGUGGACUACAAGCUAAAUAUCAGUCUUAUCAGGAUAAACAACUGCAGUAUCAUUCCUCACAGCAACACAAAGCAACUAUUCCAGCAGCACCCAACUUACAUGUUCCACAAGCAGCACCUGCCACAAAGAAACCUGGAGUAUGUUGGAGAUGCAAUGGUCCAUGGGCACCUGGACACAAAUGCAAACAAGCUCCUGCAAUACAUGCUAUAACAGGAGAAAAUGAGAUCACAAACCUUUCUCCUGGAGAAGAAGCUCAACUAGCAGUCCUAGCAGCUGAAGGACAUCUAACUGAAACCACAGCUGAUUGCAUGCACAUCUCUGCACAAGCAGUUUCAGGAAACCCCUCUUCUUCUACAUUAGCAGCUCACAUCUCUAUUGGGGGCAGACAGGGAGUUGCUUCGACUGACACUGGCAGCACCAAUACAUUUAUUGAUCUCAAGUUUGCUCUCAAGGUCAAGUGCCCACUCAUAAACACCCCCACUAAGAAAGUCACAGUAGCUGGGGGAGGAUCACUCACUUCUGGUGCCUGUGCUCAGUCCUUAAAAUUCAGAAUCGGACAGGAAACAUUCUGCAAUGAUCUGACAGUACUAGAAUUGCAAGGAUAUGAUGUAGUGAUUGGUUGUGACAUGCUCAAAAAGCAUAGCCCAAUUUCCAUGGAUUUUUAAGAAAGAACUGUCACAUUCACCAAGGACAAAGCUACUCAAGUAACCUUUCCUGACUGCACUAGUACUGAGCCACCAAAAGUUAUUACUGCAGAAAAAAUGGACAAAAUAUUGGACAGUGGAGCAGUAGGUUUUGCAAUGAGCUUACACUUCAUGACCACUGGCCAUCUCCCACCAGUACAAGAGGAGCACACCCCUGAAGAUAUCUUGCAAGUUUUAGAGCAGUACAAGGGCCAAUUUCAGGAACCAACUGAACUACCACCCAAGAGGGAAUGUGAUCAUGCAAUUCCCCUUAAGGAAAACUCUACACCUCCAAAUGUGAGACCAUAUAGAGUUCCACACUUACAGAAGAAUGAGAUGGAAUAGCAGAUCAAGAUCCUUCUGGCUAGAAACAUCAUACAGCAUAGCAUGAGCCCAUAUGCAUCUCCUGCUAUUUUAGUCAGGAAAAAAGGAGGAACUUGGAGACUGUGUAUUGAUUACAGAAAACUGAAUGCACAGACAAUCAAAAAUAAAUUUCCUAUACCAGUGAUUGAGGAUUUAUUAGAUGAACUCCAUGGAGCAGCAAUAUUCAGUAAAUUGGACCUCAAGUCAGGAUAUCACCAGAUCAGAAUGAAACCUGAAGACAUACACAAAACAUCAUUCAGAACAUAUUCAGGCCACUUUGAGUUCUUGGUCAUGCCUUUUGGUCUCACUAAUGCUCCUGCAACCUUCCAAGCACUGAUGAACAGGAUAUUUGCACCUUAUUUGAGGAAAUUUGUCUUGGUUUUCUUUGAUGACAUCCUGAUUUUCAGCAAAACCCCAGAGGAACACAAGGAGCAUUUAAAGAUAGUGUUGGACAUUUUGAAAAAGCACAACCUCUUCCUCAACAGAUCCAAGUGCAUAUUUGGUACAGAUACUGUUGAAUAUCUUGGUCAUGUAAUCUCUGCACAAGGUGUUGCAACUGAUCCUGAAAAGAUCACUGCAGUGAAAUAGUGGCCUAUUCCAACCAACACUACUGAAAUAAGGAGUUUCUUAGGGUUGGCAGGGUACUACAGGAGAUUCAUCAAAGAUUAUGGGUUUAUUUGCAGACCACUUCAUGACUUGCUGAAGAAAGAUUCUUUUCUAUGGACAGAGACACACACCAGAGCAUUUCAGACAUUAAAAGAAAGUCUAACAAAUGCACUAGUACUGGCUCUUCCAGAUUUCUCUAUACCAUUUGUCCUGGAAUGUGAUGCUUCAGGAGCUGGAGUGGGAGCUAUCCUCAUGCAGAACAACAAACCUAUUGCCUACUACAGUAAAUCACUGGGCCCUAAAGCAGCUGCAAUGUCCACUUAUGAAAAAGAGGCAAUAGCAAUUUUGGAAUCUUUAAGGAAAUGGAGACACUAUUUUCUGGGAUCCUCAUUAAUCAUAAAGACUGACCACCAAAGUUUGAAGUUCAUCACAGAACAGAGAAUCUCAGAGGGCAUCCCACACAAGCUUAUGCUGAAACUGUUGGAAUUUAAUUAUGUCAUUGAAUAUAAAAAGGGCAAGGAAGAUAGAGUUGCUGAUGCUCUUUCUAGAAAACCACAUCUCAUGUCAAUUUCAAUGGCAGUGCCCAGCUGGACUGAUAACAUAGAGCAAUCUUAUCAGAAUGAUGAUACAUGUAAAAACCUCAUAGCAAGAAUUACUCUGCUGGCAUACUCAGAUACAAGGGCAGGAUUUAUGUGGGUAAUGAUGAGAUUUUCCAACAACAGUUGCUCUCCACUUUCCACUCUUCUCCUAUUGGGGGCCACUCUGGAAUUAGAGCAACUUAUCACAGAAUUCACAGGAUUUUUCACUGGCCUAAACUCAAAGCCAUGGUGGAAACCUUUGUGCAACAGUGCCCAGUGUGUCAAAGGUCAAAAGGGGAACACUGCCAUUAUCCUGGUUUGUUAGAUCCACUCCCAAUUCCUGACAUGGCCUGGAGGCACAUUUCUAUGGACUUUGCGGAAGGAUUGCCCAAGUCCCAAGGGAAGGAUGUGAUCUUAGUUGUUGUUGACAGAUUCACUAAAUAUUCCCAUUUUAUUGCUCUGUCUCACCCCUUCACUGUCACUACAGUACUGCAAGCCUUUAUUGACAAUGUGUUCAAGCUCCAUGGCAUGCCUGUGUCCAUAGUGACAGAUAGAGACAGGAUUUUCACUAGUAAUUUUUGGCAAGCUCUGUUUAAAUCCAUGGGAGUUAAACUAAACAUGAGCACAUCCCACCAUCCUCAAUCUGAUGGACAAACUGAGCGUGUGAACCAGUGCUUGGAAGCUUAUCUCAGGAACAUGGCUUUUAAUGAACCAAAGAAAUGGUACUCUUGGCUAGCCCUAGCAGAGUGGUGGUUCAACACAUCUUACCAUACAACAACAAAAUUCACACCAUUUCAGUGUCUCUAUGGAUUCCCACCCCCACAAAUAGGAGAAGUGUCUAUCCCUGGACCCACUGACUCAGAAGCAAUAGCAUUUCAACAGCAAAAAGACCAUAUACAACAACAGCUCAAACACAACUUGAUCAUAGCACAACAGAGAAUGAAGAAGUAUGCAGACAGAAAUAGAACAGAUAGACAGCUUCGGGAAGGAGAAAUGGUAUACUUAAAAAUGCUGCCCUACAGAUUAGCAGCUUUCAACAUAAGUACAAGGUUGAAGCUGGCUACUAAAUUCUAUGGGCCUUACAGAAUCUUACAAAAGAUUGGCAACUCCUCAUACAAACUGUUACUACCUGAUGAUGUACAGAUACACAAUGUUUUCCAUGUCAGUCAAUUGAAGAGACAUUUGGGGCCCUUGGCCGUACCAGCUCCAGGUCUGCCAUUGGUGGAUGAGUCGGGCAAGAUCAAGGUUUCUCCUGUUCUGGUGCUGGAAACUCGAGCAGUCCCACGGCCUCCCAAGCUUGUUACUCAGUGGCUUGUCCAGUGGCUCAAUAUGUCACCUGAAGAAGCAACUUGGGAAGAUGCAGAUUUCAUCAAGUCAACCUUCCCUGAGUUCUUCAACUCCACCAUUCGCUCCUGGUUUCCAACACCCGAUCCUCGAGGACAAGGAUCGUCUUCAGCGGCGGGCAAUUGUCAGGACCCGGCUGAUCUGCAGCUCCUAACUGAAGAACAGAGCAGCUACUCUGAAGAAAUCGACAGCGAUGACGAAGCGGUACGCACUUGGGAAUGGACGGCUGGGAUGAAGCAGAUGGACAUCAACGGACGACAACUGUAACGGGUUCUGUUCACCUUCACGCCAUUUUUCGCCACCCUCCUGAAGCCUACAGUGACGGAGCGCGUCAGCCCCAGCGUCGCCACCAACCUACCAGCUAUUUAGCCCCUUCGAGACGUCUCUGGAGUCAUCUUUCCCUUUCUCCAAGUUGUAAUAGCUAGCCUAAGCUUAGAACCCUAGACUACUUGGUAGAAUUCGGGCAGAUCCUCGAUCUGAACCCCUGUAUCUGUACUCUGUUCCUCAAAUUAAUCCAAUCGGGGCUAGUUCGAGUAGCGGUGUUGUUGAUCGGUGUAAUUUGGUCCUGUCAGUGCUUCACGGUCGACCUAGCAAAUAGAUCGAGGGGAGCUGCGUCGUAU